UCGCGCUAUCGAUAAUUUCGCGUUUGCACGGCAAAUUCGAUCACCUUUGAGCUUAAUCGAUGACACUGAAAGCGCUUGACAAAUGAUUAUUUCAACUAAAAGAUAAGAUUUGAAGUCCCUGAAAAGUUCCAUGCAGAACGUAGGUUAUUUAUACGUAUACUUGUAAAUAAGUUGCGACGGACGGGAUAACUAUCGAUUACCCAAUUUAAACUAUUGACCGAGUUGAUCAUUUUGGCACUCUCUUUCGUCAAUUUAUAUUGACCACUAUAUUCCAAGUGCUACCAAAUAGGCUACCCUGUCGGAAUUGUAAAUUGAGGCGAUCGUAAAGAUUCAUAAAGCGUCGUUAAAUAACACUUAUGUUAAUGAUCGCGCGCGUACACAUGUGCAGGAACGCGAUCGUAGAAAUGUGACCAUUGGUGUUAAUAAAAGCAUGCGGACAAUAUGGCUGUCGGCCAACGUUACAAAAAUUCUCCUCGAGUCUAAUUUCAUCUCGAAGGUGGCGGGUAAAAAUUUUCCACUUCGAACUCGUAUCAUUGUCCUUUUCCGUUGAACAACGAGAUACGAUUGUCUUCGACUGAACUAUGUACCAUUCAACGUGGUCGACUAUUAGACACCAUGCGGUAACCAAAUACAAACACGUGACGAGCGAUCCAAGAAGACGCUGUUACAGCGAAAUCUCUAUACCGGCAGAUUAAGCUGAAACUAUUAAAAUUCACGGAGUCGUAUGACACCUGUAUCGAGAAAUGAAAAUAAACGCGGUAAAUAGCGCCACUUGACUUUCUACCAGGAAACUACAUAAUUCGAUUGUUUAGAAAUUCUGACACGUUACACGAUGAUGCGCAUCGACUUUCUUUGAGUAAGAUUACUGAAUAAAGUAAAGGUUAGUGAUGAUAGAUUUCCCCUUAACCUUCCACUAGUUACAACGGAUAAGGUUAGUAUGACACUGAAGUUGCUAUAAGUAACCUAAAAAGUACUAUCACUUUCAAGAAGGAUCGAUAUAAUUUAUUGCGAUUCACUGUUUAUAACUUUAGAUAUUUUUAGAUAAACUCGAUUGGAGAUGAUAGCAAACGAUUUCAGAGAGAGUUAUGAUCGAUUAGAAUAAGCGAUUGGAAAGAUAAAAUAUAUGAAAAUUCGAAUAUUUGCAAAAUUAAACACAACGAAUAUUGGGUGCGCAGAACGCACUGCGCAUGUAUCAUGGCGGCAACUUUUUAAUCGCACAGUUCGAAAUUUGUCAAGACUUUCUACUUGAUACAACGUAAAACCAUAAUGAUUUCCGUGGCGAGACUAGGCUGUAUGGAUAAAAGUACUGUCGCAACAUAAAAUAAUCAAAAAUCUAGAUGCAAGUGAUAGUUCACAUGCAAGAACCUAUUUUACGGACAUGGUAUGCAUUCUUUGCCGCUAUUCACCAAUGUCACUUUCUAAGUAGUGCCACCUACGAUAUACGAUAUAAAUUGUUAGAUGACAAUCAGGUAUGUAUUAAUGAUAGUUUCAAACAUGUUUGUGCAACGAUAUAAGCAACAUUUCUAAUAUUAAACACGAACAAAAAAUUAAUGCCGAGUAUCAAGUAUUUUAGGUUAGGCAACGCGUCAACUGAAGUUAACAACUUUUACUUGUUCAACAAAUUCAUAUUAACCCUUUCAAUUGCAUAAUUCUAUUGACGAUUGGACAUAUGGUGUUAAGGAUCAUAAUACUCUGCGAUAAGCGAAACAACUGUAACCUCAACAACAGAGUGAAAAAGACGGCGGAAGCGAGUUAUCGUAACAAUCGAUAACAGUUUGCGCGACAAUCGAUAGCUCUUUUCAACGGCUUUUGCGUCAAGAUAAAAAUCCAGGAAUUUGCAUUGGCUAAUGAGGAAUACAAAGAAUCAACAAUAAGUGGCACAACGAAGGAUCUUAACACUUUCAUGAAAAUUCGCCCUGGUGGCGCAAAUGCUCUAUCUAAAAAUACGUCGAUCUCCCCCCCCCCCUCCCCCGGUAAGUGUAAAUAACAAAUAUAUAUAUAUAUGUAUGUACUUCGAAUACGAAGUGCACUGUAAACACAAACAGUGGUGAUAAAGAAACGAGUGGCGUUGCGUCGUUUCUUUCUUUAUCUCUGCACAGGUUUAACGCGUUUUAUGCAUCAACCGAAAUAAUAUCGUCUGCUCAGAAACGCAAACAAUGCGCGUCGAUGGAGGUACUUACAUGCCACUUAGAAAAGAUAUAUUUAAACUGGUAGUCACAAAAAUAUUAGUAUACGUAAGCUUUUUUUACAAGUUAGUUGCCGAGUAACGACGAUAUUUUUUCCGCUCCGUCUUCCAUUGAAUGCCCGAGAAGAUAUGGCUUCAAUAAGUCGCGCACACUAUUCUACGGAUAAGGAUCCCAUGUGUGUCGUAUCGGGAGCAUCGAAUAUUCUCGUAAAUAUCAGAUUUUAUAUCCUCUUUCUUUCUUUCAGUUCAACGACUGCUUAGAAUUUGAAGAAUCAAGAAGGGAUGCUUCGUAACCACCGCACGAGUUCAAGUCUAUUUUAGCGGCAAAAUGUUUUGCUAGCCAUUUUGCGGUGAAAUAGCAAACGGUAAUGCAAUCCAGAUAUCACUCGCGAGCAGUUAUUUCCUCGAAACGCGCUCCGUUGAUUUGUUUCCACGUUCUGCGAACGAAGAAAACCGUGUGUGUACGCGUUACGAUAAAUUUAAGAUCGCGAGAGUAGCAACCGAAAUAUAUUCCUGCACGCAGGCAGCAGCCGAGAAAUCUCAUAAACGCAUCCGCCACACGCGAUUACGUGCGUGUGUGUGUGUGUUCCCCUAACACAGAGAGAACAAUGACUCGAAGAAGAAGCGGACGUGUCGUCUUUAUUUUUCCCUCGCAACAAGUUCUGCGGGGAUCGACGACGUGCCAGCGACGCGUUCGCUUAGCAUGCACGGCGAAACUUUCGAGCAAGGUGCAGGAGGCACCGUUUUAUAGAUAAUUCGCGAGCGACUUAUAAAAGCUCGAGAGAGAGUGAAGAUUGUUGAACCACAGGCAACAUUGCAUGCACGAGCAUCGAGUAAUUACAUACGAUAUAACGGUUCUGUGCCCACGACGCUCGAAAAGAAACGAACCGCGAUAAGAAUGAAUAGGCUGUUGCUGGGAACCAUUUUCACCGAAUACGUUACUAUGCUACUCGCGAUCGUAACGCGCUCUAAGCACGGAAACAAAAAAAUCAUUUCAAAAAUGUUAUACAACGUUAUAGUUUCAAUUUACGAAGGCUUCGUCGUUAGUAUAAGUUACGAGUUAUAAGCUUGAACAUUAAUUUGAUACUGUAACGUUAUAUAAAAGUUUCUAACUUAUUCGCGAUUGUAGCAAGAAGUCGCAGUUUCACCAUCGGCUUUAUACAAAUUAAAACUUUUAAUCCAUGCAUUGAAACUGAUCAGACUAUUUAUACUCAUCAUCCCCUACAAUUUAAGCCUAGCCGAUGAUCAAGCCUCUUCUCGUAUAUAAAGCUGUGACUCACUAAAGACAAUACAAAGAGAAAACACGUCUGAAUUCGUGACCGCUGCAAAUUGCGUAGCAUACACAGUCGUUCCGUGCAGGAGGAGCGAAUGAUUCAUACUUCGAAGCAGCAAAUCGUUUGAACGACGAUACAAUAACCCAAGUGGCAUUUUUUUUUUUUUUUUUUAUCUUCUUUUUGCUCUACCGAUUUACGUUACACCGAGGCACGUUGUUGUAAUUGGCGAUCCGCGAGUACCGAGUGCACGAGAUAACGACGAUAACAGGAAAUCUAAGCCUUGAAUUUCUAUCUUUGUUUAACGUUCGAAAAUGCAACGAAAGGAAAACUUAUCGAAUCGAGGCGACGCGACGCAAAGAGGAAAGGGUAUAGGUGUGUAUGUGUCUCUCCCAUUAGUACCUCCGCGUUGGUUCAUACUUUCUUCUAUCCACGUCCCACCUAUAGCCUUAUUUCUCUUGCUUCUGCGUACGUGUUCCAGACUCGGGUAAACAUAUACACGGGUGCGUGGUGUACAUGUGUAUUGCCCACGGAUAUAUUUACGUACAGCAUGUACGGCUUCGAUUGUUGGUUCGUCAACUGCGAGUGAAAUCAAACAAAAACACUUGCCGGCGCGCUCUACGCGAGUACGAUGCACAGAUUGAAAGAAACAAUUUUUCUUUCAACCUUGUUCUACUAUUUAUAGACACCGCUAAUGUAGCACCGAAGAGAAAAGGGGUAACAACGUGGGAAUGAAUGGGUUUUCACGUCCCAUUAUUAAAAGCCAAGACAAAGAGUAUAAUCCGAUCUAUACCGAAGCAUUGCAAAGGAUAUCCUCGAGCGUGGAAUCAGCAAAAAAAAGAAGAAAGAAGAAUACAAACGGGGUCUAAUCCAUUUGUCUGACGGGUGAAGAAAACCGAUGAAAGAAUGAAUAUUUAUGGGAAAAAGGAAAUUAAUAUCUACCCGCUAAUGUGUAGCGUGUAAUAAACGACCAGGGUCACGAAUUUUUCGUUCUUUACGUUUCUUUUUUUAACUCGCGUUUGUGUGCUGAGAAGAAAAAAGGAAUUCGAAGAGAAAAAGUAAAACCACGUUGCGUAGGUCACGCACGUACAACGAACCAGACGCAAAGUGAUAAAUGAUAGCGAGGUUUUUGAUCGCACAAACCCCACCAUCGUUCACCGAGUUUAAUCAAGUACGCGCGAAGAAAAUAAUACGUUAGUUUGCCGGGGCUCGGCAAUAAAGCAAGCUUUAACGGAAGUUCACCUGCGACGUAUGACUCUUUACGAAUUAUGAAUGGCAUUCUUCGUAGUUUGUCACGUUUGCACGCGCCUACGUGACUAACAACCAAUUCAUUCCCGGAAUUGAGGAUCGUUUAUAAAUUUUUUUUUUUCUUUUGCGCACUUAAACAAUAUCGUAAAUUAUAAAACACCUUCUAUUAGGAAUAAAAAUCUAUUCGUGUAUUUACAGAAUGUUCCAACCGAAGAAGACUAUCUAGACAUGAAUAAACAAUGAUUGUUCACUGAACGUGGAAGCGAUCAGUGCGGCUUUCAAGCAGUUCAUUUAUGGAUCUUCAGACACAUCAGUGUAUUUCUGUACACACGUAUUUAUACACUCGACGUGUAACCCUUCACCUCAUCUCGCGGACGACACAGGAGGGAUAAGUUUAAAGAUUGCAAGAGCAAUUGCCCUGGUUGGCGUCGCACAACGCGACAGCCUCUGCAGGGAAAAAGUGAAGAGACGAACAAAAAAAAAAAAAAGAAGAAGAAGAAAAAAAAGGAAAAAGAAUUGUAGAAAAACAAGGCCUCCUCUGAGAGCUGAGAGUUCUGGAACGUGCGUUGGCCAGCCUGCCGACGAUUCUAUCUAUUGCGCACAGCCCAGCUGACAGUCCAAUCAGCUGUAAACGUACACAAAAGCGUCGUCCAACAGGUCCACGCGUUCUUACAAACCGAACUAUGUAUAUCGUUUUUAUUGCGCGUAGAAAAUAGCAUUUAAUUACAAUACUGUUUCCUUUCCGCGCUCAAGUGUGACGCAGCCUGAUUUACCAAUAACAAUUAGGUGCUAAUUAGUGAUAAUUAAGAUAGUUUCUCCUUUUUUAAUUUUCAAAUUACGUUGCGUGGCUAUUACAACAUUGUAUGGAUGAUAAAUAAAUUUCAGUCGAAAGUUUAUAUCUCGGAAAUCUUUGUUGAAUUAGAUAACAAGGAAAAUCUUGAAAAUCUCAAACGGUAAGAGUUAUCGAAAAUAUUCUUACGCAAUUGUGUUUAGUGGGUGAAAAUCUCAACUAAUGACCGAAAAAGGAUUGUCGCUCUAAUUCACUUUAGCUUGUUUGUAAAUCUAUCCAAGUAUAAUGCCACGGAUAGGAAGAGUUUCCUUGCGGCGAGGCGUCGCGGGGACUCGUGCUCCGCUGGUCAGACAGGAAUCGCGCGAGGCUACACCACUGUAACUUAAAUAAACAGCCGAGAGAGGAACAAGCGCGCACACAGCCGCUUCGAGUUUAGUUAAUUCGGGUCAUCGUCCUUCGUCACUCGUCGCGCAUAUUUAAUUUUCCAUGUAAGCGUCCUGACGACGCGACGGAUGUCGCUUUCAAAGCGAAUUGCACUUUAAUAUGCACCUUGUAUACCCGCGUCCUCGUACAACGGUUCUCGGUCUAUUAAAUUCGAAAGGCGCCAUAGACCGAAGAAAGCCCGGGAUGGUUAAACAAAUUGCGAUCGAUACGAUAUGUAGAUGGUAAAAAAUAACCGAGGUAACAGUCGAGGCAUUCUCGUCGAUAAGGUCGAUCUUAUUGAAUUAGCGUGUUUAGUUAACCUCGCCAAAUAUUUACGAGAGAAAAAUCAAUGGAAGUUUGACGGUCGGAAACACUGACAAGUAGCGUUACGUCAAUUCCCUCCUUUCUCUGUCUACCACUUAACCUUACCACAGACCGUUCUAUGCGAGAGUAUUAUGUAUGUAGGUGUUUUUUUUUGUUUUUUUUUUUAAUGCGAUCGAAGCCUUCCACACAUAUGUGUAAUGUAUACAGAGGAGAAAGAAAACGUCGCAAGGGUACUACGACGAGGAGGCACGUUAAAAGAUAACACAGUUCGAACGUUUUUAUGACGCGUCGGUUGAAUCAGCUGUGAGUGUGUACAAAACAAGAGAGCGUGUAUUAUCUGGUGACAUUGGCGUCGUUAAGUAUCAGUGAAAAUUUAUCGUCGGAAACGGCGUGUAAAACACCGGUGUCGUUGACAUUGCGACUGAUUAAAAAUCAUUCUCAAAAUAAAGAGUAUAAAUGAAAAAUAAACACACCGGUAAGUUCAUGAUAGGAGAUUUUUCAUUUACAACCAAGUAACGUGAUUUUUCUCCUACACAUACACGUGCGUACGUGACGACACAGCUACUCGAUAUGGCAGAAUUUACACUGUUACCAAGCGUGAAUGGUCUAAACAGAAUAGAGAAUCGAGUUGAAAUGAAAAUUAAACGAAUUAUCGCACGAGAUUCGAUGCGAAUAACGCGAAGAUGAUAUAAAUCGUUUCGGAGACGCCACGAAACGACGGCCCUGGAUCUUUCGUGUAAGGCAGCUGACAGCCUCCCGUCAGCUGAGAGCGUACACAAAGUCUGAUGCCGUAUGCGCACAUAAUCUUAAUCUUCGGCCUGUUUCCAAGCGAGAACUCACUACCGUAAAAAAACUGAUAUAAGGUUGUUUAACUGCACGCACGAUGCUGUGUUACGAUGCUCUAAAUGAUUGCACAUUAAAAAUACACAGAGUUGAGAAAAGAAGAAGAAAAAAAAA
Molecule: long non-coding RNA, 7198 nt
Organism: Osmia lignaria (orchard mason bee)
Lineage: Eukaryota; Metazoa; Arthropoda; Insecta; Hymenoptera; Megachilidae
Source: RefSeq, a predicted model, not a curated record